This 458-nucleotide ribosomal RNA is filed under the name uncultured bacterium. Its description in RNAcentral is "partial 16S ribosomal RNA". It matches the Rfam family "Bacterial small subunit ribosomal RNA", at positions 338 to 795 of the family's 1533-position model. The record is from RNAcentral.
CCUACGGGUGGCAGCAGUGAGGAAUAUUGGUCAAUGGGCGGGAGCCUGAACCAGCCAAGUCGCGUGAGGGAUGACGGCCCUAUGGGUUGUAAACCUCUUUUGCCGGGGAGCAAGUGCCGCACGUGUGCGGAUUGGAGAGUACCCGGAGAAAAAGCAUCGGCUAACUCCGUGCCAGCAGCCGCGGUAAUACGGAGGAUGCGAGCGUUAUCCGGAUUUAUUGGGUUUAAAGGGUGCGUAGGCGGGCGCUUAAGUCAGCGGUAAAAUUGCGGGGCUCAACCUCGUCGAGCCGUUGAAACUGGGUGCCUUGAGUGGGCGAGAAGUACGCGGAAUUCGUCGUGUAGCGGUGAAAUGCUUAGAUAUGACGAAGAACCCCGAUUGCGAAGGCAGCUUGCUGCAGCGGAACUGACGCUGAUGCUCGAAAGCGCGGGUAUCGAACAGGAUUAGAUACCCCUGUAGUC